This is a long non-coding RNA of Carya illinoinensis, 2754 nucleotides long. RefSeq lists it as uncharacterized. The record is from RefSeq and is a predicted model, not a curated record. The transcript is spliced from 12 exons. NCBI's taxonomy places the organism in Eukaryota, Viridiplantae, Streptophyta, Magnoliopsida, Fagales, Juglandaceae.
AAACUUGAUAUGCAUCCAACCCAAAAGCCAAAUCUCUUUAGAAGGGAAGUUAACCAUCGGUGGACUCAAGAACACGAGCUAUGCAAGUGUGUUAUUUUUCUUAUUUUUUCGACUGUAUUAUAAACGUUAAGAGCCACAGUUCCCAACAGUCCAAAAGCUUCUAAAACAAAGCGGCUGGCGGGAGAUGAACCCAAAGACAGAUGUACACGAUGAUGUCCAAUUUAGGAAAAAAGGAAGACCUUUUUGCAUCUCUGUCGGUGCGCCUCGAUUUAAUAGCCCACAUUUCCUUCUCUUUCCACUUUCUUCUGUUUCCAUGGCUUCCCAGUUGUCUUCGCAACUUCUACAGCUUUCUUACUACUCGUAGGUCUUAAGCUCUUGUUCAUCUGUGAUCAUCUGUGAUCAAUUAAAAGAAUUAAUGUUAUUUACAUGUUUAUCAGCUGCUUGAUAUUAUUCUUCUGGAGAUUUUAGACCCUCAAGUACUUCAUGACCCGAACAAUCAGUUGGACUAGACAGUAGAGGAAGGGCUACGGCAAAUGCAUCUCACCCAUUAAGUUUCGAUGCCAAGGAUCAAGGAAUUUAUGGCCUUCCAAAGAAAAAUUCCACAGUCGGAUAUUUUUCUAGAUAUUAUACAUCAUCGCGAUGGAUUUCCUCACGGGUGUUAUCAUCUAUGGCUUCUUCUACUCAUUCUGGUCAAUUUAGUUGGGAGAAUGGUGCUCCUGUUGCUAAAUUUCAAAGACUUGAGAUGGAAUUUAGUCGGGUUAAUCGUCUUGUGUAGGUAUUGCAUGAAUCUGCAAGGAGCUUUUCCCAUGCAGUUGAGAACCUUAGAUUGUCAGGAACUGGUCCAGCGCUUGCAAUGGCAUGGGUUGGGAAGGAUGUCCAUUACUGGCAUAAACGUAUUGCUUAUCAGGUAGUAGUUUACGUUUUGAUGAAAAUGGCGGUUGAAGUGGAGAUCUUGCUUUCUAGUGAACGCCGCAACGACACUUCCCUGGCUAGAGAGAUUUUGUCCCCCAAGGUAAACAUGGUUGGGGAGCAUAUUGAAAAUCAGUUGAGCAUGAGGCAAUGAGGCAAUCGGGAUUGGAAGAAUGGUUUAAAGAGGUUGAACUGCCACGUAUAGCUGGAUUUUUUCUUCCUAUGUUAAAGAGCUGAUCAAUGGAAUAUGCAGGAAGUGGUGUUGCAGGGAUCAUUGUGGCUAUAAGUUGCUGUGCUGCAGUAAGGAAAUUGGGUUCUAAGCGCACUUGCUGUCACUUGUUUACAUUUUCAAUUGAGGAUGUAUUGGUGCAGCUCAUGGAUCUUUCACACGGUCUUGUUUCAGUGGACAAAUUACAUCACUUGGCCACUGAAGCAGGUUUUGAACUGGACUUUCUGACUCAUUUUGGUACAGAGGUUUUCUCUGGCAACGCAAGUGAAGAGCUGGAAUUCUGGAUUGGAUUGGCUCAGAAAAAACUCUCAGUGGCAUUCCACAAAGAGGCAGCCAAAUUUUUCACGACAAGGUUCAAGCAGAUAGUUUGGCUACUUUAGGGCUCUUUGCAUAUCUUGGAAAGAGGACCAGAAUAUUCUUGUCAGGAAAGAGCAUUAAUGAUCUGGAUGACCAUGUCAAAGACUUCCUGAGGUAGGUGAUUUUGCCUUUUCAUUACGUUCUAAAAAUCUGGUCCUUAAAAUUGGGACACUUGGGAGGUCCAGUGCUUUGCCUGCAGCUACUUGGAACGCGGUAGCCUUUUCAUUUUCCCAGAGCUGUCUUCUAUUUUAGUGUAUCAGCUCUUCAUGGAGGUAGUAACUGAUGAAAUUGGAUGGCUUGAUUUUUAUGCUCCAUUUGCUUGCAUAAACAAUCAAGAGAGGAGAAGGUCCAAACAUUGUACAAUCCAAGCAGAGAGAGAUUAUUCUAACUACUGUAUUUACCGUAUGCUAUGAUAUUUUCUCUGGGUUUGCUCAUUUCAGCCGUUCCACGCUAAAGCCCUUAGAUGCAGAUUUGCUAGAAUUCUUGCUUCGGAGUCAAAGCCUGCUAACUAUUUGUUUGGAAGACUACUGGGCUGCUUAUGAUAAAUCAGGGCCACCAGACUAGCUAGGAUGUCUACGACCACCUUUGUGGUGGGGCAGAUCUGCUACUAAGUCAAUUCCUCGGCAUGAGAUUUUAAUUAGGAAAUACAUUGUCAAGUUGGCAUCUACAAGUUCUGAUAUAUGGAUGGGUAUGCGGUUGCUUUUCACAGACUUCAUGGUGGCUCUGGAGCUACUCCUAAAUCAAUUGCGAGGUCACAGGGUCACAGAGAGGGAAACAAAGAAGUUAAAAAGAACUCUAAAUGACAUAGCAUCACUCAUCCCGGUUACAAUUCUAAUGCUACUUCCUGUAUCUGCUAUAGGUCAUGCAGCUAUGCUAGCGGCAAUAAAAAAGUACAUGCCAUACUUGCUUCCUUCUCCAUAUUCUCCGAGCGGCUGGAUGUCAUGAAACAACUACAGAGAACUAAAAAGAUGGAAGUUCAGGCAUGGAGCAUCCUUGAAGACACAUCCUCUAAAAUAUCUUGAAGAUAACUAUUUCGUGCAAUCCUGUUGUCUCUCUUCUGUGAAUUACUACAAUGUGAGUUGUAACCUUGUGGGGCAAUUGGUGCUUUGGUGGAUGCAAACGCAUACAGAUGACAGUGAGACAAACAAUGUAAUCUAGUCUUGUGAGGAUCCAUAACUUAAUAAAUGUAUUCACUGUCGACCUUUGGUUGCAUGCAAAUGAAGUUUGGGGAUGCAUCAGAACCAUAUGUGAUUUUCUUU